RNAcentral lists this transfer RNA (105 nucleotides) under Annulohypoxylon bovei var. microspora. RNAcentral's name for it is "tRNA-Ile". It matches the Rfam family "tRNA". Rfam says of the family: Transfer RNA (tRNA) molecules are approximately 80 nucleotides in length. Lineage: Eukaryota; Fungi; Ascomycota; Sordariomycetes; Xylariales; Hypoxylaceae. The record is from RNAcentral.
GGUCCCAUAGCUCAGUUGGUCAGAGCGUCGUACUAAUAUUCUCCUCUAAUGCAGAGGAAAUGUUGAGUAAUGCGAAGGCCGAGAGUUCAAGCCUCUCUGGGACCA